RNAcentral lists this long non-coding RNA (1754 nucleotides) under Homo sapiens (human). RNAcentral's name for it is "HSALNT0218683". The record is from RNAcentral. Lineage: Eukaryota; Metazoa; Chordata; Mammalia; Primates; Hominidae.
GGAAAACUACGACCCCUAGAAUCUUUGAUGUUGGAUCGGAGCCAUGUGCCUGAGUUCUGGCCUAGGAAAUGUGAACACAAAUCAUGUGUCACCCCUGAGAGAAGCCAGUGAGGAUCAUCCAUCUCUCCAUUCUCUCACCACAGCAACUUUGGAAGCUGUGGCAUUAUCAUCAUAUGGAAAGAGCUUGGAAUGAGAACACAUGGACACAGGAAGGGGAACAACACACACUGGGGCCUGCGCGGAUUCCCAAACCAAUGGACCAUACAGGCUCAGGAAUCGACAUAAAUUUUCUAGUGCCUUGUGACACAUUCGUGUAGUCUCUCAAAAAUAGGUUGAAUGAAAUUAGUCUUUUGAUGAUGAAUAUUAGAUCAUCAAGCUUGCUAUUAAUUUGAACAUGAAUGGUGUACCAUGACAAGCAACACCACUCUGCUUUUUAUUUUAAUAAAGUUCUCAAACAUACUGAAUAACAUAUGUGUGUGUGUGUGUGUGUGUGUGUGUGUGUGUGUAUACAGAGAGAGAGAGAGAGAGAGAGAGAGAAAGAAAGAGAAUGCAAGACAAGUUUUUUUUCUCUUUGGAGAGGGAGUCUUGCUCUAUCACCCAGGCUGGAGUGCAGUGGUGCAAUCCUGGCUCACUGCAACCUCCACCUCCCGGGUUCAAGUGAUUCCUGUGCCUCAGCCUCCCGAGUAGCUGGGAUUACAAGCGUGCACCACCAUGCCCAGCUAAUUUUCUAUUUUCAGUAGAGACAGGGUUUCACCACACUGGCCAGGCUGGUCUUGAACUCCUGGCCUCAAGUGAUCCACACGCCUCAGCCUCCCAAAGUGCUGGGAUUAUAGGCAUGAGCCACCAUGGCUGGCUAAAUUUUUAUAUUUUAUCACAAAUCAUUAUAUUAGAUAGAGUGACAUGGGUUGCUGUAACAAAUGGCCCCAAAAGAGCUCCCAGUGGCCAAAACUGAAACGAUUUGAGAAAAAAAUAAAAGGUAGUAUUAGAUUAUAAGCCUAAGUAUGGAAUAAAUAUCCAUGCAUCUAUAGUGAUAUGAAUAAUUAAAUAAAGAAAUAGGGGAAAGGAGACAACUCUCUCAUGAAGAACAAUUUUAUAUAAUGUAUUACAUAGUUUAUCGCCAAGGAGGUGCGACAUAACUCCCCACUCCUAAGUGUGGGCUGCAUAUAGUGACUUUCUUCCAAAGAUACGGUGUAGGAAAUCAGGAGAGAGUGACUUUACAGUGGAGAAACCUGACAAACAUUACCUCACCCACAUUGUCUAGAUGAACAUCACAAGGUAAGCAAUGAUAAGCUUAUGUUGAUAGUAUGUACCCUUGAUAUAAUAUGAUGAAAAUGGCACUUUAUUUCUGUAUUCUUCCUCGAAAAAACUUAUAACCACAGUCUAAAGAUGAUAAAACUAUCAGAUAAAUCCCAAUUUUAAAAAAGGCAUGACCAGUACUCCUCAAAGCUGUCAUGAUCACCAUCUAACAAGGAAAAUCUGAAGACCUGUCACAUCAAGAGAAGCCUAAGGCAACAUGACAACCAAAUGUAAUGUGGUAUCCUGGAUGAGGUCCUGGCACAGGAAAAGGACAUUAAGUACAAACUAAAGAACCUGUAUAAAAUAUGGACUUUAGUUGACAUUAGUGUAUUAAUAUCAGUUUAUUAAUUGCAAUCAAUAUACCCUACGAGUGUAUAUUAGGGGAAACUGGGCGCAGGGUAUAUGGGAAGUCUAUACUAUCUUCUCAAUUUUUCUGUAAAUCUAAAAUAGUUCUAAAC